This 1246-nucleotide unclassified non-coding RNA is filed under the name Diabrotica virgifera virgifera (western corn rootworm). Its description in RNAcentral is "uncharacterized LOC114338778". Lineage: Eukaryota; Metazoa; Arthropoda; Insecta; Coleoptera; Chrysomelidae. The record is from RNAcentral.
GAUGAGUGCCAUCGUUACGAUAAUAUUAUAUUUAUUCCUAUAAGCCACCUAAUAAGUAUGCAACCAGUUAUGCGUUCGUGCUUAGAACGGGUUACCUAAAUUUGGGACCAAAUACAAUAUAAGGUUGGUACUAGAUUGGGGAAAUUCUGGUCUCAGCGUGUGGCUGUACGGCUUCCGACGGAGGGGCAUAUCAUAUCGCCAGCGGAGCGGAUUGUCACUUGAAUUUCCAAUCUCGUUGGAUGAACCCAUAACUUCUUCCAUGGCCAUUGUUUGAAGAAUACUAUUUUUUGGUUGAAAUAUUCGUUUAUAGCAGAGCAGUUUACGUUGGAAGGAAUUAUUAUUAUUUUGUUUUGGAUUUGUGGAGUGAAAAAGAAGAGUUUUGUUUCCAAUAUUUUUUGAAAAGCAAUGGCCAUGGAAGAAAGAAGAUAAGAUAGGAAAUUAAGUCAACCAAUACUUUAGUUUGCCUUUAUGGAAUGAAACAUUAUUUUGGGGAAUUCUUUUGGAUGUAAAUUGUAUGGUUUUUUUUGUUGGUUCUUUGGAAUAGCAGUUGAGUUUUUUGAUACUGGGAAAGUACCUCCUUGUCAUACCUUCCUUUGGUUGAGGAUCUCCCAAGGAUUGAGGGAAAACGGAGGAUACCUUAUUUGGCGCUCCCACCAUCAGCUUCACAGGGUUUGAAGAAGCAACACGCCUAAGUUGUAGCUACAGGUUUUUAUAGUAAAAAAAAAAAUGCAUGUCAUUUGUUCUAAUAAUAUUUUUCAAUUACUAUUUUUUGUGUCAAUAACUUAAAAAUAAGCUCUCUAAUAAUAAUAUACCUUCAAUUUUCAUUAAAAAUAUAGUUAACAUAGUAAUAUUCAACAUUGUUCAACAAAUUUAAUCUUUUCACAGUUCAUAUCCUUAUUUACAAUAGUUGGGGAUUAUGAUCUACGACGAUGUUGUGCACAAUAUGUAACGUAGAUUCCCUUAUUUAAUAAUAGUUAUUCCAUUUGUCAGGUAUUCUAGUCAGGUUGUCACCUCUGAUCAGAUUCGUGAUUGUCAGCCAAUAUUAAUCCUCAUUCAUAGUCAGUUUGUAUAUACAUAGGUAGAUCAAUAAUUAACUGUCUUUGUAAUAAAUUCAAUACAUUUUUUAUUGUAAAAGCUGCGUUGCAGACAGGAGCGUACUAGCCUAGUACAUCAGGAAGUAGCUAGUUUGUAUAAAAUUGUAUAUAGGGGUUAUAGGUAUUUUUUUUCAUUAAAUUUGUUGGUUGUA